UCGAGCGGUAACAUUUCUAGCUUGCUAGAAGAUGACGAGCGGCGGACGGGUGAGUAAUGCUUGGGAACAUGCCUUGAGGUGGGGGACAACAGUUGGAAACGACUGCUAAUACCGCAUAACGUCUACGGACCAAAGGAGGGGAUCUUCGGACCUUUCGCCUUUAGAUUGGCCCAAGUGAGAUUAGCUAGAUGGUAGGGUAAUGGCCUACCAUGGCGACGAUCUCUAGCUGGUUUGAGAGGAUGAUCAGCCACACUGGGACUGAGACACGGCCCAGACUCCUACGGGAGGCAGCAGUGGGGAAUAUUGCACAAUGGGGGAAACCCUGAUGCAGCCAUGCCGCGUGUGUGAAGAAGGCCUUCGGGUUGUAAAGCACUUUCAGUCGUGAGGAAAGGGUUGUAGUUAAUACCUGCAAUCUGUGACGUUAGCGACAGAAGAAGCACCGGCUAACUCCGUGCCAGCAGCCGCGGUAAUACGGAGGGUGCGAGCGUUAAUCGGAAUUACUGGGCGUAAAGCGUGCGUAGGCGGAUGAUUAAGCGAGAUGUGAAAUCCCGGGGCUCAACCUCGGAACUGCAUUUCGAACUGGUCAUCUAGAGUACUGUAGAGGGUGGUGGAAUUU
This 616-nucleotide ribosomal RNA is filed under the name Thalassotalea marina. RNAcentral's name for it is "bacterial SSU rRNA". It matches the Rfam family "Bacterial small subunit ribosomal RNA", at positions 62 to 669 of the family's 1533-position model. Lineage: Bacteria; Pseudomonadati; Pseudomonadota; Gammaproteobacteria; Alteromonadales; Colwelliaceae. The record is from RNAcentral.